Molecule: ribosomal RNA, 645 nt
Filed under: Triticum aestivum (bread wheat)
Lineage: Eukaryota; Viridiplantae; Streptophyta; Magnoliopsida; Poales; Poaceae
Description: partial small subunit ribosomal RNA
Source: RNAcentral
AUGGAUAGCUUGAUAGUUUUGUUUAUCAUACUUUGUAGUUUCAAUGAUGACACAUAUAUGUCAACUAUUGGUGUUGGCUCCAACAACUAUCAUUGGUCUCAAACCAAUGAAGUGCAUGAAGAUGAUCAUGAAUAUGAAGUGAAUGAGGAGGGUGAGGGUAUGGUCGAUGCACCGAAAGGAAGGGCGUGCAACUACACCAUGGACGAAGACAUCUUGCUAUGCAAGACAUGGUUGAAUGUGUCUAUGGAUGCCACCAUCGGGACGGACCAAAGUAGAGAUACAUAUUGGUUUCUAAUGAAAUUCUUUGAUGCACACAACAAUAGUGGAAUUGAGCGCACCGAUAGAUCUCUUCGCUCCCGGUGGUCGAUGAUCAACAAAGAUUGUCAAAAGUGGGCAGCGGCAAUGACGUCGGUUGACAAGAUAAACACAAGUGGCACUAAUGAUAGAGAUAGGCUCAAUAUUGCACAAAACUUAUUUCAAGGAGAAGAGAAGAAGACCAAGAAAGGCAAGGUUAAGAAAGGGAGAGCAUUUGUGUUGCCCCAUUACUACGAAGUGUUGAAGGAUGAAGAGAAAUGGAAGAACCGUGAUGUCCUAGAGGUGCCAAAGAAAUGCAAGGCAACUAUUGAUUUAGAUGAUGAUGAUUAG